AUUGAACGCUGGCGGCAUGCUUUACACAUGCAAGUCGAACGGCAGCGCGGGGCAACCUGGCGGCGAGUGGCGAACGGGUGAGUAAUAUAUCGGAACGUACCCAGAAGUGGGGGAUAACGUAGCGAAAGUUACGCUAAUACCGCAUACGAUCUACGGAUGAAAGUGGGGGACCUUCGGGCCUCAUGCUUUUGGAGCGGCCGAUAUCUGAUUAGCUAGUUGGUGAGGUAAAGGCUCACCAAGGCGACGAUCAGUAGCUGGUCUGAGAGGACGACCAGCCACACUGGGACUGAGACACGGCCCAGACUCCUACGGGAGGCAGCAGUGGGGAAUUUUGGACAAUGGGCGCAAGCCUGAUCCAGCAAUGCCGCGUGAGUGAAGAAGGCCUUCGGGUUGUAAGGCUCUUUUGUCAGGGAAGAAACGGCCGAGGAUAAUACCUUCGGCUAAUGACGGUACCUGAAGAAUAAGCACCGGCUAACUACGUGCCAGCAGCCGCGGUAA
RNAcentral lists this ribosomal RNA (498 nucleotides) under uncultured bacterium. RNAcentral describes it as "partial 16S ribosomal RNA". It matches the Rfam family "Bacterial small subunit ribosomal RNA", at positions 30 to 523 of the family's 1533-position model. The record is from RNAcentral.